GGAACCACCUGAACCCAUGCCGAACUCAGAAGUGAAACGCGGUAGCGCCGAUGGUAGUGUGGCAUUCGCCAUGCGAGAGUAGGACACUGCCAGGC
This 95-nucleotide ribosomal RNA is filed under the name Aeromonas hydrophila. Lineage: Bacteria; Pseudomonadati; Pseudomonadota; Gammaproteobacteria; Aeromonadales; Aeromonadaceae. The record is from RNAcentral.